This is a non-coding RNA of Pisolithus marmoratus, 85 nucleotides long. The record is from the annotation of a GenBank genome assembly. NCBI's taxonomy places the organism in Eukaryota, Fungi, Basidiomycota, Agaricomycetes, Boletales, Pisolithaceae.
GCCGGGAUAGCUCAGCUGGGAGAGCAACAGACUGAAGUUGCAAUUGGCUUUCUGGAGGUCCCGUGUUCAAUCCACGGUCCUGGCA